UACCUUCCUUCAUCUUUGGUAACACUUGUGAGGAUUGGGUCAUAAGAAGAACUUGAUAGCUCGGCAUCUCUAACCUGCCAUUCUGUCAGGUAACUUGGUUUUGAAGUAACCUCGUCGAUCUCAAUUUCUCCGUUCAGCAUGGUAACCGCCUUCGACAUUGAUGGACGGAGAAAGGGUGACGUUUGGGUGCAAAGAAGAGCCAAACGAAUGAUGCGGGUGACUUCUACUUCAUCAUAUGAUGUUAAUUUCUUAUCCAUUAUCUCAAGUGCCAUUUUUCUAUCAUACAGAUUCCAUGCCUGACAAUAAGCAGCAGCAUAAUUCAAUAAACAAGGGCAUUUCUUUAUAUAAGAUCUCAUGAAUUCAAUUCCGGUUUUCUUCUAAAUAUCUACUUGCAAUCGGGCAACA
RNAcentral lists this long non-coding RNA (405 nucleotides) under Zostera marina. RNAcentral describes it as "long non-coding RNA (ZMAR_LNC000373)". The record is from RNAcentral. Lineage: Eukaryota; Viridiplantae; Streptophyta; Magnoliopsida; Alismatales; Zosteraceae.